Vidua chalybeata is the source of this 431-nucleotide long non-coding RNA. RefSeq lists it as uncharacterized. The transcript is spliced from 3 exons. Lineage: Eukaryota; Metazoa; Chordata; Aves; Passeriformes; Viduidae. The record is from RefSeq and is a predicted model, not a curated record.
CCCCUGAGGAAGGGUGUCGCUGAGGGAGGCCCUAUGCCCAAAGAAUUCCACAGUGAAGUCAGUCUCCAGCUGCUGUCUUACCAGAGAAAUAAAAGACAUCUUCCCCCUGGAGUUCCUCAGUUGUUAGCCUACAAUAAGGGAUUUCCUGCCUUUGCCAAGACCAGCCUGAGCUUUUCUGAAAGCACUGAGCCACAGCUGGAACUUGCCUGGUCUACAUGGUGCAAAGUCCUUGGGUUUUGGACAAAGGAAGCUCUGCACAUUAUCAGAGCAGCUGAUACAGUCUCUGGUAUUUAUUUAUGACAAAGAAAAGGAGCAGUCUUAUGAACGGCUGAAGGAUAACAGCUGCAGCUCAGCUAAUCCACCUCAUACCAACACUGCAACCUCAGUGACAGAGCGUGGCCUGGGAUCUCUCUCAGCAAAGACCUUGCAGA